This is a long non-coding RNA of Cryptomeria japonica (Japanese cedar), 3210 nucleotides long. RefSeq lists it as uncharacterized. The transcript has 8 exons. Lineage: Eukaryota; Viridiplantae; Streptophyta; Pinopsida; Cupressales; Cupressaceae. The record is from RefSeq and is a predicted model, not a curated record.
AAGUUCAGUGCUCCAAAAUGGCCAAUGCUGGCAUUUCUAGACACACAAUGUCCAGAUAAGCCUUCUUUCCUCAUUGUAGCAUAAGUUUUUAAUUUUUUUUAAUUUUAGCACUCAACUUCUACUCUGGAAUUAAGGAAGUUCAUUUUAUUUUCUAGCUCUAGUUUGUUGGUGUAGAAUGGUAUUGUUUAUUGGCUUUCUAAAUAUUUAGUAAGCUAAACUAUCAGCUAACUGAUCUUUCUUUAGUUAUGUAUUUUACCAAGUAGUGAAGUUUCAUUACCAUUGGAAUCUAGUAAUUUUGCUUCAGGGUUUAAUAUGUUUUUGAUUCCUUGUUUUGGGAGCUUUGGUCGGUAUGUUGGAUUUAUUCAUUUUCUUUAAUAUUUCAAAUGGGAUAAAGGGAUAAAAUUUUCCUUGGCUUCAGAUAAGCUGAUUUUAUAAAAUAGAGAAUGGAAUCCCAGUUUCUAGUAUUGAGAUGUUUGAAAUAUUUUGAAAAUUUAUUAGCUGGGUGCCAUUGUUUUACUCAAGAAAAAACUAAUAGGAUUAUCUGUGGACCAUAAUAAUAUAGAAAUAACUACCAGGAUUAUCUGUGGGCUGUAUUGAUACAGAGAAGCUACAAUCAUUGAAGUUGACAAGUUUGAUGAGGUUGACAUGGAUGAUUAGAAAUGGGAUCUAGUAACAUUUUAGAUUGUUUUCAUCACCAUUUCCAUUUCGUGUGACUAAUGCUGUUAAUCCAUGUGUUUCUUGUGUAUACCGCUCCUUUACGAGUUCUUUUAAUCUGUGUGUUUCUUGUUUAUACCAUUCAUAUUCUUUCUUUUUUGUGAUUGUUCAUUUCUAUCAAUGUUUUAUUUUGUCUUUUUUUCUUCCUCUCUGUUUGUUCAUUUUUUUUCCUAUUUGUUUUGUUUUUAUUUUUCAUAUUUAUUGUGUACAGCGUGCACGCUGGUCUAUCUGUUCAUCAUAUUCAUCUUCUAUUUGUUCUACUUUUUUUGUUUUGGUGUUACGUUUUUGUGGCAAUCCAUAGGAAGAGGCAGAAAAAAGGAAGAGGCAGAGCUACUGAGAGCAACUUCAAACUGGCAUGAUAAAAUUUGUAAAUCUUCAGGUAAUUCUUCAUAGACAAGAAAGAGCUCAUUAUUAGUUUUGCAAAUCCAAUCAAUUCAAACUGGCAUGAUAAAAUUUGUAAAGAACUCUCAUUUUGAUUUGAAAUCAUUUAAUCUUUGUAGUUUUCAUCCUCUUAAUAGCAACUUCCUGUUUCCCUUCUUCCUCACUUUUUCUCGCCACUCGGACCAUUUUCAUCCUUAAUUUCAUUAUAUGUAGACAUCGAAUAAUAUUCGCUUGAUACCCACUUUUCAUCCCUCCUGUCAUAAAAUUUAAACCAAAUAAUGCAAUAGCCAAUAUCUAUCUCAGACUCACCCACCAAGAGGUCAAAGUUGUGAAUGCCAAGUUUUUCGCUGGCAUAAAUAACAAUGAUGUUUGGCUGAUCGAUGGUAUGUUGCAGCCUUUUGUAAAUCUAAAUAGUCUUGAGACCACAUUCUAUCAAAUGGUUUUAUACACCCUUAGUAUUAUUACCUUUUGCCCUUGAAGCUAUAAACACUAAGCCCUACUUAUUUACCCUUAGUGUUAUUACCCUUGAAGCUUUUGCUAUUGCUUGCAUUAUGAUGAUAGUGAUGGGCAUGACAUGUUUCAUUUUGGAGACAAUUAAUGCUUUAAUGUAAUACUCAUUAGUUUAUUUUUGUCCCUUAGGAAUAUAGAUUUGUAGAUAAAACAUUUCAGAUUUGGACGACUGGUUUUUCUCUUUAUCUUUCAAUUUUCACAAUGUGUUUUGAUAUCUUUGGGAAUGAAUGUUUGGAUUUGUUUUCACUCAUGAUUAUUUUUAGGUAAAUUUAGGCUUAUGAUUUUCUUUUCUCCUUUUAAAUAAUUUUGGCUUGAGUAAAGGACUCGUAAAGUUAGAUUCCAAUGUAGGCACGAGAAGCUGGACCCAGCAAGAGUUCAUCUAACUUAUGCAGAGAAGAAGACAUGUGAAGUUCCUUAUGACCUGCUUAGUAGAUCACAAGUAGCUGCUUUGAGGCAAUGAGUAGAUCUCAUAGCUAACCUAGUGUUUGAAUUCUCUGCGUUCUUAGGCAAUGAGUGAAUCUUCUCCAGCAUAGCUAAUCCAUUGGGAUUUUCUAUCAAGCACAAAUCCCAUGGAGAGGUCCUAUUCAACUCCUCCUCAGAUGGCAACUUGGUUUUUAGUAUCUGUUACUUCUGUAUGAAUUUAUGCUCAAUGGUUUCCUCUGUGAUUUGAUUUUUGUUGGGUGAGCAUUUACAAAAUUGCAACAGGACUGUAAUUUUGUGGUUGUGCAUGGAGAUGUGAAGCCAACCAAUGUACUAAUGGACGGUCACAUGGAUGCCCAGAUGGUUGAUUGUGGCUUAGCCAGACUCAUGCAGAGGGAAGUCACCAUGUGCUCCAUUGCAUACACUACACCGGGUAUUUGUAGCAGGCAUAUGUAGCAAGCUUGCUAUUGUAAUAUUAAGAUGAAGAUGAAAAACAGGGGGAAAAUUCUUCUGUUUGUGAUGUGUAUCACACUUAUUCCCAUUAAGGGCAGCCCAUUAAACAAUGUGAAUACGAGGGAAAUCACUGCAAUACCUCAACACAAUUAAUUUUAGUUGGACUUUUGCUGCUGAAGAUCCACCACCUCUCCCACAAAUUACUGGGCAACACCCACUGAUCCCAAUCCUCAGACUGAAGUCUGUACCUGCAUACAGCAACAAUGCCUUAUUGGGCUUCUGAUUGAAGUCUGUACCUGCAUACAGCAACAAUGCCUUAUUGGGCUUCUGCGAGACCAGAAACAUCAGGAGCUUGCUCACCUCUUUGAUAAGCCAUGCUUUUGGGAAUUGCUAGUUGUUCAGGCUCCCCAAGUCCCCAAUCAACAGAUAAAUGUUAUGGUGGAGGAGAGCACGAUGACCAUUUCUAGACACAUAUUGUUCAGAUAAGACAGAGCCUCCUUAUCCUCAUUGUAUAGAAAACACUGUUCCAGGUAAUCCUUGGAUCUUGUCUUUAGCAUCCUUGAAUGGUUGGAGGAUAACCCAAAUAUAGUAAUUAAACAUAAGGAUUGCAUCAAUGGCUCCGAUACAUUUGUUGAUAUUCAACAGGACGAGGAGGAGAUUGGAAGAGGAUGGAUACCAAAGUUGCAGACCUACGACUUCGAGAGCAAACUUAUGCCAGCCAUAUACCCCCAG